UCCCUGGUGGCUCAGACGGUAGGGCGUCUGCCUACAAUGCGGGAGACUCGGGUUCGAUCCCUGGGUUGGGAA
This 72-nucleotide transfer RNA is filed under the name Capra hircus (goat). It matches the Rfam family "tRNA". From Rfam's summary of the family: Transfer RNA (tRNA) molecules are approximately 80 nucleotides in length. Their secondary structure includes four short double-helical elements and three loops (D, anti-codon, and T loops). The record is from Rfam by way of RNAcentral. Lineage: Eukaryota; Metazoa; Chordata; Mammalia; Artiodactyla; Bovidae. RNAcentral also lists the same sequence under 1 other name.